Callithrix jacchus (white-tufted-ear marmoset) is the source of this 2166-nucleotide long non-coding RNA. RefSeq lists it as uncharacterized. Lineage: Eukaryota; Metazoa; Chordata; Mammalia; Primates; Cebidae. The record is from RefSeq and is a predicted model, not a curated record.
UCAAAAAUUGAGUAAAGAGUUCACUCAGUUUGGGGCCCAGAUGAAAAUGAGAGGAAAGAAUGCCUGGCUUAGGUUCUGUUCUGAAGAGGGAAAGAGAUUUGAUUCAUAGGUUCACAAAAGCUAACUUCACUGCAGAGGGAAAAGUGCUUCCAGGUGACAAUUUCUAGGUUUACUGGAGUUUGGUGGAAGUAGAUGCUAUUGAUGUGAGAGGUUAAUGUCUGUCACAGUCCAGGUAUUUUGCAAUGGCUUUCUUCACAGCAUGUUCAUUUUAAGAGUAAAGAGGUCUUUAUGGUUCAUGGAAGUUUAAUGAGGAUUACAAUAGCCCCCCAGAUACUUACAACAGUCAUUUAAAUAACCCUAACCUCUGUUAUGAGAGGGAACUUGGCAAUUUUAGGUAUUAUACACAUUCUUUUGAAAACUUUACCGUUUCCACAGGCUUUUCCAGUUAUCUCCUACAUACUGCAAUUAUACAUUGUGGGGUAGUAUGUGUUGCUAUGGAAAUGCCCUCCAGUCCUUACUCGGACACGUAAAAGAGAAUCCUUGGGCUCUGUUUUAUGUGUCUUUACAUACACAUAUUCCACAUGUAAGAUUAUGCAGUAUUUUUAUUUUGGUGUCUGGCUUAUUUCACUUAGCAUAAUGUCCUCCCAGUCUAUUCAUGUUGUAACAGAUGAAAGGUUUUCCUCUGUUUUGAAGGCUGAAUCAUACUGCGUUUUAUCAUAUUUUAUUUUUGUUAAUUGAUGGGUAUUGAGGUGGUUUCUGUCUUGGCUAUUGUGGAUAGCGCUGCCGUGAGCAUGAGCGUGCAGGUAUCUUUAUGAGGUUGUGAUUUUUAUCUCCUUUGGGUGUUAUCCCGGAGAUGGAUUGUUGGGUCAAAGGGUAGUAGUUCUAUUAAAUUUCUUUAGGGAUCUCAGUAUUGUUAUCCAUAACGGUUGUAUCAAUCUAAAUUUCCCGCAGUGAUAUUUGUGACUUCUCUUUUCUCCACAUUCUUGGUAAUAAUUGUUUUGGUAACAGUCAUCCUUAAGACUAUGAGGUAAUAUUUCAUAGUGGUUUUAAUUUGCACUUCUCUUAUGAUAAUGUUGAGCACAUUUUCAUAUUGGCCCUUUUAACAUAAUCUUUGGAGAAAUGUCUGUUGGAUCUUUUGACUGUAAUAAACAAUUUAAAAAUUUUUAAAUUCAAAGAGUAUAUAUAUUUGUUGCAGGGAUAUUAUUUGCAUAACAGUGGGGACUUGGCUUCUAGUGUACCCAUCACAAGAUACUGAAUAUAGCACCCAGCAGGUCAGUUCCAUGAAGACUUCGAUAGCUGUCUGCAGGUGCUGUCAGGAUGCCUGGCCUUGAACUUGCUUGCACAAUUUACUUAUCACCUGAGAACAAGCUUCUCCACAACUGCAACUACCUUCAACAACCCAAGGGUGCAGAGAAACUAAUGUCCAUGGGACCACCUUGGAGCAAUAAUCAGAGCAUGAAUCUUCCUCCCUUUUAUUCUCUAGAUUUAACAGGAAAAUGAAGGAAAGGCUGGGAGAAAGCUUCGGAGCAGAGUGGCAUAAUUGAGGCAAUCGGAAGAACCCAUGUCAUAAUCCAUCUCAUACUGCAUCCAACAGCCCAAGUCAUGUACUAUUCAUAUAGCAAUAAAAAAUUAUUCUGAGAGAUGGUGAAAUUUGCAAUGUUCUGUUCAGAAAGUUAAGACUUCAGUUUGUGGGACCUAAGAAAGCGAGAAAGUCUGGAUAGGAAAAAUGAAGUUCUUUAUAUGCAAAGAUAAGCUACAAAAACUGGUGAUGUGGUUUGAUGAAUUUUAAGCUAAUAACCGUAAAAGGCAAGUUUGAGGGACUCUGAGUGACUGAGUUCUGUUAGAUAUUAAAUGUACAUACCACAAGUGUAUAAGCUGAUGGAUUUACAGUAAGUAUACUCAUGUAACUGUCAAGAAAUAGCUUACUACCAUGACCACAGAAAUCUUUCCUUGGCUCUUCCUGGUCAAACUACCAAGCAAAGCCAUUAUUCAGACUUAUAAUCCAAUUGACUCUUUGUUUUUGAAGUUUUUGUAAAUGUAGUGACACAGCCUACUCAUGCUUGUCAAGUGUUAACUUUGUGAGAUUAUCUAUAGUUGUACCUUGAAGCAUAAGCUAGAGUCUUCUAUGCUCCAUGGCACGAAUGCAACAUAAACGAUUGGUCCAUA